This 270-nucleotide long non-coding RNA is filed under the name Rattus norvegicus (Norway rat). RNAcentral's name for it is "long non-coding RNA NONRATT033617". The record is from RNAcentral. Lineage: Eukaryota; Metazoa; Chordata; Mammalia; Rodentia; Muridae.
UGAUGUCUCAAUUUAACAUAUGUUUUGGGCCUUACCAUGACCUUCUGGCUUCUCUGACUGUGCACCUGGAGCAGUGGGUCUUCCAAGCAUUGUUUGGUUGGAGCAUGGAACUACUGAAUGGACUUUCAGAAGCCUACCACGUUUAUAUCAGAAUCGAAAUUGUCCUAGAUGGCAUUAUCCUGCACAUUUAUGGAUUGGAAGAUUUUAGGACUUUAACAAUGUUUGUGGUUGUGGCGCUAGCUUGCAGUCUCCGGAUCAAACGAAAUCGAG